Molecule: ribosomal RNA, 1377 nt
Filed under: Klebsiella sp.
Lineage: Bacteria; Pseudomonadati; Pseudomonadota; Gammaproteobacteria; Enterobacterales; Enterobacteriaceae
Description: bacterial SSU rRNA
Rfam family: Bacterial small subunit ribosomal RNA
Source: RNAcentral
GCUUGCUCUCGGGUGACGAGCGGCGGACGGGUGAGUAAUGUCUGGGAAACUGCCUGAUGGAGGGGGAUAACUACUGGAAACGGUAGCUAAUACCGCAUAAUGUCGCAAGACCAAAGUGGGGGACCUUCGGGCCUCAUGCCAUCAGAUGUGCCCAGAUGGGAUUAGCUAGUAGGUGGGGUAACGGCUCACCUAGGCGACGAUCCCUAGCUGGUCUGAGAGGAUGACCAGCCACACUGGAACUGAGACACGGUCCAGACUCCUACGGGAGGCAGCAGUGGGGAAUAUUGCACAAUGGGCGCAAGCCUGAUGCAGCCAUGCCGCGUGUAUGAAGAAGGCCUUCGGGUUGUAAAGUACUUUCAGCGGGGAGGAAGGCGAUAAGGUUAAUAACCUUGUCGAUUGACGUUACCCGCAGAAGAAGCACCGGCUAACUCCGUGCCAGCAGCCGCGGUAAUACGGAGGGUGCAAGCGUUAAUCGGAAUUACUGGGCGUAAAGCGCACGCAGGCGGUCUGUCAAGUCGGAUGUGAAAUCCCCGGGCUCAACCUGGGAACUGCAUUCGAAACUGGCAGGCUAGAGUCUUGUAGAGGGGGGUAGAAUUCCAGGUGUAGCGGUGAAAUGCGUAGAGAUCUGGAGGAAUACCGGUGGCGAAGGCGGCCCCCUGGACAAAGACUGACGCUCAGGUGCGAAAGCGUGGGGAGCAAACAGGAUUAGAUACCCUGGUAGUCCACGCCGUAAACGAUGUCGAUUUGGAGGUUGUGCCCUUGAGGCGUGGCUUCCGGAGCUAACGCGUUAAAUCGACCGCCUGGGGAGUACGGCCGCAAGGUUAAAACUCAAAUGAAUUGACGGGGGCCCGCACAAGCGGUGGAGCAUGUGGUUUAAUUCGAUGCAACGCGAAGAACCUUACCUGGUCUUGACAUCCACAGAACUUAGCAGAGAUGGUUUGGUGCCUUCGGGAACUGUGAGACAGGUGCUGCAUGGCUGUCGUCAGCUCGUGUUGUGAAAUGUUGGGUUAAGUCCCGCAACGAGCGCAACCCUUAUCCUUUGUUGCCAGCGGUCCGGCCGGGAACUCAAAGGAGACUGCCAGUGAUAAACUGGAGGAAGGUGGGGAUGACGUCAAGUCAUCAUGGCCCUUACGACCAGGGCUACACACGUGCUACAAUGGCAUAUACAAAGAGAAGCGACCUCGCGAGAGCAAGCGGACCUCAUAAAGUAUGUCGUAGUCCGGAUUGGAGUCUGCAACUCGACUCCAUGAAGUCGGAAUCGCUAGUAAUCGUAGAUCAGAAUGCUACGGUGAAUACGUUCCCGGGCCUUGUACACACCGCCCGUCACACCAUGGGAGUGGGUUGCAAAAGAAGUAGGUAGCUUAACCUUCGGGAGGG